AACGCACGAGACCUGCGGACCUGCGGAAGGAUCAUUAUCGAAACCUUCAAAACUUGGGUAUGCUUGGCCUGGCCUUUUGGCCGUAAGAGCCGGCUCCCAGUCAUCCCCCUUCACACCUUGCUCACCUUCAGAGGGGAAAAAGGAGGGGAGGGUCGUUUGCCUUUUCCCCCUUGACCCCCUUUUUUUUCACAAAAAAAAAGCACCUUAUUGUCACAGAAUGUUUUGUGUAUUUGACAAAAA
Molecule: unclassified non-coding RNA, 240 nt
Filed under: soil metagenome
Description: partial contains 5.8S ribosomal RNA, internal transcribed spacer 2, and large subunit ribosomal RNA
Source: RNAcentral